Macadamia integrifolia is the source of this 1057-nucleotide long non-coding RNA. RefSeq lists it as uncharacterized. The transcript is spliced from 3 exons. Lineage: Eukaryota; Viridiplantae; Streptophyta; Magnoliopsida; Proteales; Proteaceae. The record is from RefSeq and is a predicted model, not a curated record.
AGACAUGCGGUGGCCGUAACAGAGCCGGAGACGGUUUGGACGCCGGUUAGACCGGCCGGAGAACGGCGUUUCUCGGUUGAACCUGUGAUCUCUUCGAGCUUUUGAGAGCUCUGUUCCGCUUGCUCCUUUCACUUUUUUCAUUUUCUCUGGGAGAGCAAAAGAAAGAGCCACAGCGUGUUUCCUUUCUUUUGGGUUGCUGCAUUGAUCGUUAAGAUCCGAUCGAUCUGUGCAAAGCGUCUGUGAUUCUGAUGGAUGGAGAGCUCUCUGCGUUCGCAGGUUUCAGAUGCUAUGCUGCUGAGGUUGGUAUCACAAAAACCAUUUGAUGAUCAGCUUAGCAGCCUAAGAGGACCUUGAUCGGGCUCUAGGUUGCUAUGGACCCAACAUAACCGACCAUAAUGAGCUCCCUUCUCUGGAGGCAAUAAUCAAAAGUUGAUGUCACCUUCCUGUUCCAACACAGCGAUGCUGGCAAUUUCCAUCUUUUGAGUUGUAUUCUACUUUACCAGAAAAUUUUCCAUAUUUGAGGUUCAUUGACUUACUCAUAUACAUUUGCAAUCCCUCCUACUUCAAGAACAACAUUUGAAAACAUUGUCUGCUAUGUGAAGUCAAAAAUUGUUCUACAAUGAUAUGUGAAGGAGAUUCCUGUUUCCUAUGUGCAUCAUCAGACUGGUGAUGUACACAGCUUGGAGGAUCGUUGUACACUCUGAGGAAUGCAUUUCUGCUCAUGAACCCCAGUAAUGAUGCAUAUCUGGUUUAGCAGGAAGUCCACUGGCUGUUUUUUGAUGAAGUGAUGACUCCAGCCAGUAAUAUCCCAAUUUUUACUUGGUGGUAAUGGUGUGCAGGAAGUAAGGACUAAAAGAUCAAGAACUUGUGCUUGUCUAAUUUUUAUGGAGUUCCACAUGGACAAUAUUCGUUCUGUUGGUUUACUAUUCAUGGCUAAAUUGUCAUUGAGGUUCUGUUUUUAUGGUUUUUUUUUUUUUUUUGGUGCAAAUGUUUUUGUGGUUUAAGUUUGUGUCAUUAUUGUUUAAUUCAUAUGAUAAGAAAUUUUUUUUUUGGUAAA